RNAcentral lists this ribosomal RNA (625 nucleotides) under Hepatozoon felis. RNAcentral's name for it is "SSU rRNA". It matches the Rfam family "Eukaryotic small subunit ribosomal RNA", at positions 198 to 811 of the family's 1831-position model. Lineage: Eukaryota; Apicomplexa; Hepatozoidae. The record is from RNAcentral.
GAGAUGCAUUUAUUAGAUAAAAAACCAAUACAUGCUUUUAAAGUAUGGAAUUUGGUGAUUUACAAUAACUUAGCAAAUCGCAUAGUGAAAACAGGCGAUAAAUCAUUCAAGUUUCUGACCUAUCAGCUUUCGACGGUAUGGUAUUGGCUUACCGUGGCAGUGACGGUUAACGGGGGAUUAGGGUUCGAUUCCGGAGAGGGAGCCUGAGAAACGGCUACCACAUCUAAGGAAGGCAGCAGGCGCGCAAAUUACCCAAUUCUAACAGCAUAAGAGAGGUAGUGACAAGAAAUAACAAUACAAGGCAGUUAAAAUGCUUUGUAAUUGGAAUGAUAGAAAUUUAAACACUUUUUAAAGUAUCAAUUGGAGGGCAAGUCUGGUGCCAGCAGCCGCGGUAAUUCCAGCUCCAAUAGCGUAUAUUAAAAUUGUUGCAGUUAAAAAGCUCGUAGUUGAAUUUCUGCUAAAAAUAACCGGUCUGCUUUUAAUAAAGGUGGUAUCUUGGUGUGUUUUUAGCAAUAAUGUCCUUUGAAAUGUUUAUUACUUCAUUGUAAUAAAUUAUUUUCAGGAUUUUUACUUUGAGAAAAUUAGAGUGUUUCUAGCAGGCUAACGCUUUGAAUACUGCAGCAUG